AGAGUUUGAUCAUGGCUCAGGACGAACGCUGGCGGCGUGCUUAACACAUGCAAGUCGAACGGUGAUGAGGAGCUUGCUUCUCUGAUCAGUGGCGAACGGGUGAGUAACACGUGAGCAAUUUGCCCUUGACUCUGGGAUAACUGCGGGAAACUGUAGCUAAUACCGGAUACGACCUUGGAAGGCAUCUUCUUUGGUGGAAAGAAUUUUGGUCAAGGAUGAGCUCGCGGCCUAUCAGCUAGUUGGUGAGGUAAUGGCUCACCAAGGCGACGACGGGUAGCCGGCCUGAGAGGGUGACCGGCCACACUGGGACUGAGACACGGCCCAGACUCCUACGGGAGGCAGCAGUGGGGAAUAUUGCACAAUGGGCGCAAGCCUGAUGCAGCAACGCCGCGUGAGGGACGAAGGCCUUCGGGUUGUAAACCUCUUUUAGUAGGGAAGAAGCGACUGGGUUUUCCUGGAAGUGACGGUACCUGCAGAAAAAGCACCGGCUAACUACGUGCCAGCAGCCGCGGUAAUACGUAGGGUGCAAGCGUUGUCCGGAAUUAUUGGGCGUAAAGAGCUCGUAGGCGGUUUGUCGCGUCUGCUGUGAAAACCCGAGGCUCAACCUCGGGCCUGCAGUGGGUACGGGCAGACUAGAGUGCGGUAGGGGAGAUUGGAAUUCCUGGUGUAGCGGUGGAAUGCGCAGAUAUCAGGAGGAACACCAAUGGCGAAGGCAGAUCUCUGGGCCGUAACUGACGCUGAGGAGCGAAAGCAUGGGGAGCGAACAGGAUUAGAUACCCUGGUAGUCCAUGCCGUAAACGUUGGGAACUAGAUGUGGGGACCAUUCCACGGUCUCCGUGUCGCAGCUAACGCAUUAAGUUCCCCGCCUGGGGAGUACGGCCGCAAGGCUAAAACUCAAAGGAAUUGACGGGGGCCCGCACAAGCGGC
RNAcentral lists this ribosomal RNA (927 nucleotides) under uncultured bacterium. Its description in RNAcentral is "bacterial SSU rRNA". It matches the Rfam family "Bacterial small subunit ribosomal RNA", at positions 8 to 933 of the family's 1533-position model. The record is from RNAcentral.